GAACGCGAAGAACCUUACCAGGUCUUGACAUCCCGAUGCUAUUUCUAGAGAUAGAAAGUUACUUCGGUACAUCGGUGACAGGUGGUGCAUGGUUGUCGUCAGCUCGUGUCGUGAGAUGUUGGGUUAAGUCCCGCAACGAGCGCAACCCCUAUUGUUAGUUGCCAUCAUUCAGUUGGGCACUCUAGCGAGACUGCCGGUAAUAAACCGGAGGAAGGUGGGGAUGACGUCAAAUCAUCAUGCCCCUUAUGACCUGGGCUACACACGUGCUACAAUGGUUGGUACAACGAGUUGCGAGUCGGUGACGACGAGCUAAUCUCUUAAAGCCAAUCUCAGUUCGGAUUGUAGGCUGCAACUCGCCUACAUGAAGUCGGAAUCGCUAGUAAUCGCGGAUCAGCACGCCGCGGUGAAUACGUUCCCGGGUCUUGUACACACC
RNAcentral lists this ribosomal RNA (433 nucleotides) under uncultured bacterium. RNAcentral's name for it is "bacterial SSU rRNA". It matches the Rfam family "Bacterial small subunit ribosomal RNA", at positions 957 to 1391 of the family's 1533-position model. The record is from RNAcentral.